This 758-nucleotide ribosomal RNA is filed under the name uncultured bacterium. Its description in RNAcentral is "bacterial SSU rRNA". It matches the Rfam family "Bacterial small subunit ribosomal RNA", at positions 86 to 862 of the family's 1533-position model. The record is from RNAcentral.
GAAUGGAAAGUAGCGGACGGGUGAGUAACGCGUGAGAAACCUGCCUCACACAAGGGGAUAGCCAUUGGAAACGGUGAUUAAUACCCUAUGACAUGGACGCUUCGCAUGGAGCAGCCAUUAAAGUGUUAGCGGUGUGAGAUGGUCUCGCGUCUGAUUAGCUAGUUGGUGAGAUAACAGCUCACCAAGGCGACGAUCAGUAGCCGGCUUGAGAGAGUGAACGGCCACACUGGAACUGAGACACGGUCCAGACUCCUACGGGAGGCAGCAGUGGGGAAUAUUGCACAAUGGAGGAAACUCUGAUGCAGCGACGCCGCGUGAGCGAAGAAGGCCUUCGGGUUGUAAAGCUCUGUCCUUGGUGAAGAUAAUGACGGUAGCCAAGGAGGAAGCCCCGGCUAACUACGUGCCAGCAGCCGCGGUAAUACGUAGGGGGCGAGCGUUGUCCGGAAUUAUUGGGCGUAAAGGGCGCGCAGGCGGCGUCGUAAGUCGGUCUUAAAAGUGCGGGGCUUAACCCCGUGAGGGGACCGAAACUGCGAUGCUAGAGUAUCGGAGAGGAAAGCGGAAUUCCUAGUGUAGCGGUGAAAUGCGUAGAUAUUAGGAGGAACACCAGUGGCGAAAGCGGCUUUCUGGACGACAACUGACGCUGAGGCGCGAAAGCCAGGGGAGCAAACGGGAUUAGAUACCCCGGUAGUCCUGGCCGUAAACGAUGGAUACUAGGUGUAGGAGGUAUCGACCCCUUCUGUGCCGGAGUUAACGCAAUA